Molecule: long non-coding RNA, 1356 nt
Organism: Cyprinus carpio (common carp)
Lineage: Eukaryota; Metazoa; Chordata; Actinopteri; Cypriniformes; Cyprinidae
Exons: 3
Source: RefSeq, a predicted model, not a curated record
UUCCUCCUUGCAGGUGUUUUUCAGGGCCUGUGGAUGCCUACAUUAGAUAGUUACUCUGUUUUCUCCAAACAGACAAAAUGGUUGUGGCUUUUCUAGUGUGAACUGGAACUUACAGAAAUUAUAUGUGGAAUAAUCAUGUAUGGAUUUAGUUUUUGGACACAAAAUGGAGAGUUCUAGUACAAGGGAAGAAAAACAUAUGGACAAAUGCUGUGGAAAAAGUAUGUGUAGCCCAUGGGACAUGCUAACAACACUCUCCAGCUGGGAUUGGGAACAAGGUGCUGGAGUUUUUUAAUGGAAAAGUGCCAUCUCUCUUGCAUCAUGCGGUGCAGUAUAAAGAAGCGGUCAUCACAUUAAAGUUGUGCUGGGCUCUGGCAGGGUUAUAUUAGAUGUCAGAAACAAUCCGCCCAGCCUGUCUGCAUCUCUCCUGCGUCUCAGGUGCUUGCAGCUGCCCCUCAAAGUGAAGAGAUAACACAACUACCCAAAAAGUGCUUUGUUCCAGCAAAUUGCAAAGCCACCUGGUUGGGGAGGAUGGACUGUGGUGCUCAUGCGCAGCGGAUGAUAAUACAGAUCUCCUUAUUUGCUACGAGGGAAGAUGAGAAUAGGCAAGAUGAUUUGAGGUCACAAUGCCUUUUAUUAUUCUGUCCUUUUGCAAAUUCGAAUCUAUAUUUUGGAUCCUGUUAAAGUGAAAAACACACAAAAUAAACCAUCUGUUGCAUGUCAGUCGCACAUGUUGCUGCAAUUUCAGAAAAAUAGGAGCACAGCAAAUGCAUUCACUGUUUAUAUAUAAUUAGUUUCUUGUAUCAACAUUGAAUAUAUAUAUAUAUAUAUAUAUAUUAUAUAUAUAUAUAUAUAUAUAUAUAUAUCAAUAAUAAAACAUUUAUGUUGCAUAAAAAUCCAUGUUAAGGGUUAUUCAUAUAAUAUAAUAUGCAAUAUAAAUAUCCUUAUUUAGCAUUCCCCUCACGUCAUGAUCAUACAACCAAAACGACCUUUCCUUUUUCGCCCAGAAACAACAAAUUUCAGACGCUUUUUCUAUUUUUUCAAGGAAAACACUGACAACAUCAAUGCCGUGAAUUAUCACCUCAGUCAACACUGUCAGUCAUGACCAAAGUCCCAAGAUAUAUAUCACACAAACUGACAUAUAAAAGGCUGUUGAUGUCGCAGUCUACUUUGAAUUUCAAGCUCGGGGACACAGAAGAACCUGACAAGCAACAAUCAUAAGGAAGAACAGAAAAACAGGUGUGCACCUGGCUUUAGAUGUCUUGUAGUAUCCAACAAACAAUUCACUUGUUUAACCUUUGCAUCCAAUCACACAACAACAUGUAUUCAUAAAGCAUUACAAAACGGGACUGCUGAUCU